RNAcentral lists this long non-coding RNA (127 nucleotides) under Columba livia (rock pigeon). RNAcentral describes it as "partial uncharacterized LOC102093481". Lineage: Eukaryota; Metazoa; Chordata; Aves; Columbiformes; Columbidae. The record is from RNAcentral.
GAGUGAAGCUUGUGGGCAGUUUGUGUGAAAAACAAGACUAACGUGUCUGAGGGAAGGACCGCGCUGUCUGCAGCCUCACCGGGUAAGGAGGCAGCUUUGAAACUACUGCAAGAAGAACCAAGAAGGU